UUCGCUAACGAGAUGAUGCAUAUUCUCAGUCUGGACUAUUCCCAGAUUUACAACCAACAACUAGUCUUAUCUUAGUCCAUGGAGAGGAAAAAGCAAACGAAGCACGUUGAGUUAUCUUUCAAUUGAAUUAUUAAAUACGACCGUGAAAUGCGUAACUUAUGGCUUCGGUCUCUCUCUUUCAAUUCUUUGAAUUGCUUUGCUUUCGCGCAGCCGGUGCUUGUUUGGCCAAAGAUAACCAAAUCGUCUGCAUACAUUGAGUGAGUAAUGCACGGUGCUGUCGGUGCCAGCUUUAUACCACUGAUUUGACCAUUUUGCUGUGCUAGGCUGAACAUUUGGGGAAGAUACUCCAUUAAAAUUCUGAACAAGUAAGGGAACAGCUCUGGAUCCCAAGACAAGACUUCCUCUUAACUAGCGAGGAGGUUUAAGGGAAGUUUCCUUCACCGGGCCUGGGAAGGAUAGAAAGAAGUGGAAUAUUCAAAGCAUCCUAGUAAGAAACAAAACAUGUCAAAAAAUCCUUUUUCUGGGUCCCUGAGACUCUUGUUUUUCCAUUUUGAUGUUGUUAUAGGCUUUUCACCCACCCGCCUUAUUCCCUUAUGAAGAGAAAGUUGACUAAAUAACUAGAUUCUCAAGCUCUCAUUAACUUAAACCUCUUCUUUCGCCUACUUGUUUUCCUGCUUGCUAAGCGGCUUGUCUUGUUCGCCUCGGCCCAGCUUCCUUUCCGUAGUGAGAGAAGUGAUUACACUCGACCAUCUUCGAGGCUGCUUUCUGCUAGCCAUAUUCCUAAUCUGGGUAUCCUUCCUUGUUCAGGAAUUCCUGGCCAUGGGCGGUAUUCACUUGAUAUCGCGUUCACAAGCUUCUUCUGGCGUACGUAAUGUGAGGUCUUUCCUUCGCUCCGCUACUAGUUCUCCUGGGCCAAGAUUGAUUUGGGGCAUCAUGUUCAAUUGUGAGUUGGACAGUUCGUUCCGGAUCUGCAUAGUCAGAAAAUCUCGUUCCAACCGGUCAUGAAAGUUAGUGGAAGUGUAUGACUGCUUUCUUUGUUAGGUGAUUGAUAGAGUUUCGUUUUCCAUAACUCUCGAGCUCAUUCAUCGUAGAAAGCGUGCAUUGUGCUCUUCCUAUCGUCGUAUAAAGAAAGGUGUCUGUUUUUUCAGAAAGAGAGCAAAGCUGCCAGAAAAGUAGAAUGCCGUGAACAAGGGUGGUUUAAAAUCGUGCGUGAACCCCAAUUUCCACUCAAUGCGAUAAAAGCGGAGGCCUCUCUCUCCGGGCUAGAAACAAAAACGAAAGUGCUUGCAUUCCAUUAGCUAGAACCCGACAGUCGAAGGCGUCUAAAAGAACUCUUUAUUUCUUAUUGGCUUUCAUUUCACUUCGAGGUUAAUCCUAGCAUCUGAUCCCUUACCAAUUAGGGAAUUCUGUAUUCGGGUUUGUCUUAAAGUAUUUAUCCGGGUAAAUAAGGGAAAUGAACUGUUUCAUUCCUCA
This is a long non-coding RNA of Oryza sativa Japonica Group (Japanese rice), 1473 nucleotides long. RefSeq lists it as uncharacterized. The record is from RefSeq and is a predicted model, not a curated record. Lineage: Eukaryota; Viridiplantae; Streptophyta; Magnoliopsida; Poales; Poaceae.